GAGUUUGAUCAUGGCUCAGGACGAACGCUGGCGGCGUGCUUAACACAUGCAAGUCGAACGGAAAGGCCCUGCUUUUGUGGGGUGCUCGAGUGGCGAACGGGUGAGUAACACGUGAGUAACCUGCCCUUGACUUUGGGAUAACUUCAGGAAACUGGGGCUAAUACCGGAUAGGAGCUCCUGCUGCAUGGUGGGGGUUGGAAAGUUUCGGCGGUUGGGGAUGGACUCGCGGCUUAUCAGCUUGUUGGUGGGGUAGUGGCUUACCAAGGCUUUGACGGGUAGCCGGCCUGAGAGGGUGACCGGCCACAUUGGGACUGAGAUACGGCCCAGACUCCUACGGGAGGCAGCAGUGGGGAAUAUUGCACAAUGGGCGGAAGCCUGAUGCAGCAACGCCGCGUGCGGGAUGACGGCCUUCGGGUUGUAAACCGCUUUCGCCUGUGACGAAGCGUGAGUGACGGUAAUGGGUAAAGAAGCACCGGCUAACUACGUGCCAGCAGCCGCGGUGAUACGUAGGGUGCGAGCGUUGUCCGGAUUUAUUGGGCGUAAAGGGCUCGUAGGUGGUUGAUCGCGUCGGAAGUGUAAUCUUGGGGCUUAACCCUGAGCGUGCUUUCGAUACGGGUUGACUUGAGGAAGGUAGGGGAGAAUGGAAUUCCUGGUGGAGCGGUGGAAUGCGCAAAUAUCAGGAGGAACACCAGUGGCGAAGGCGGUUCUCUGGGCCUUUCCUGACGCUGAGGAGCGAAAGCGUGGGGAGCGAACAGGCUUAGAUACCCUGGUAGUCCACGCUGUAAACGGUGGGUACUAGGUGUGGGGUCCAUUCCACGGGUUCCGUGCCGUAGCUAACGCUUUAAGUACCCCGCCUGGGGAGUACGGCCGCAAGGCUAAAACUCAAAGGAAUUGACGGGGCCCCGCACAAGCGGCGGAGCAUGCGGAUUAAUUCGAUGCAACGCGUAGAACCUUACCUGGGUUUGACAUGGAUCGGGAGUGCUCAGAGAUGGGUGUGCCUCUUUUGGGGUCGGUUCACAGGUGGUGCAUGGCUGUCGUCAGCUCGUGUCGUGAGAUGUUGGGUUAAGUCCCGCAACGAGCGCAACCCUUGUUCACUGUUGCCAGCACGUUAUGGUGGGGACUCAGUGGAGACCGCCGGGGUCAACUCGGAGGAAGGUGGGGAUGACGUCAAGUCAUCAUGCCCCUUAUGUCCAGGGCUUCACGCAUGCUACAAUGGCUGGUACAGAGAGUGGCGAGCCUGUGAGGGUGAGCGAAUCUCGGAAAGCCGGUCUCAGUUCGGAUUGGGGUCUGCAACUCGACCUCAUGAAGUCGGAGUCGCUAGUAAUCGCAGAUCAGCAACGCUGCGGUGAAUACGU
RNAcentral lists this ribosomal RNA (1355 nucleotides) under unidentified marine bacterioplankton. RNAcentral describes it as "bacterial SSU rRNA". It matches the Rfam family "Bacterial small subunit ribosomal RNA", at positions 9 to 1371 of the family's 1533-position model. The record is from RNAcentral.